RNAcentral lists this ribosomal RNA (123 nucleotides) under Periophthalmus magnuspinnatus. Lineage: Eukaryota; Metazoa; Chordata; Actinopteri; Gobiiformes; Gobiidae. The record is from RNAcentral.
CUAUUUGGCCAAACCUCUUUCUCAAAGUCUGAUCUCGUCUGUUCUCUGAAGCUAAGCAGGGUCGGGUUUGGUUACUGUAGUCCUUGGAUGGGAGACCACUGGGAACACCAAGCGUCACAGUGG